RNAcentral lists this ribosomal RNA (305 nucleotides) under uncultured bacterium. Its description in RNAcentral is "bacterial SSU rRNA". It matches the Rfam family "Bacterial small subunit ribosomal RNA", at positions 335 to 639 of the family's 1533-position model. The record is from RNAcentral.
GCCCUACGGGACGCAGCAGUGAGGAAUAUUGGUCAAUGGGCGAGAGCCUGAACCAGCCAAGCCGCGUGAGGGAAGACGGCCCUAUGGGUUGUAAACCUCUUUUGUCGGAGAACAAAACCCGGGACGUGUCCCGGACUGCGUGUAUCCGAAGAAAAAGCAUCGGCUAACUCCGUGCCAGCAGCCGCGGUAAUACGGAGGAUGCGAGCGUUAUCCGGAUUUAUUGGGUUUAAAGGGUGCGUAGGCGGUCCGUUAAGUCAGCGGGAAAAUUGCGGGGCUCAACCCUGUCGAGCCGGUGAAACUGGCAG